This 292-nucleotide ribosomal RNA is filed under the name uncultured bacterium. Its description in RNAcentral is "partial 16S ribosomal RNA". It matches the Rfam family "Bacterial small subunit ribosomal RNA", at positions 505 to 796 of the family's 1533-position model. The record is from RNAcentral.
GUGCCAGCCGCCGCGGUAAUACGUAGGGACCAAGCGUUGUCCGGAAUCAUUGGGCGUAAAGAGCUCGUAGGCGGCUAUCCGCGUCGGAUGUGAAAGCUCAGAGCUCAACUCUGAGAGGCCAUUCGAUACGGGAUAGCUAGAGGUAGGUAGGGGAAAGCGGAAUUCCUGGUGUAGCGGUGAAAUGCGCAGAUAUCAGGAGGAACACCGGUGGCGAAGGCGGCUUUCUGGGCCUUACCUGACGCUGAGGAGCGAAAGCUGGGGGAGCAAACAGGAUUAGAAACCCGUGUAGUCC